RNAcentral lists this ribosomal RNA (505 nucleotides) under uncultured soil bacterium. RNAcentral's name for it is "bacterial SSU rRNA". It matches the Rfam family "Bacterial small subunit ribosomal RNA", at positions 26 to 524 of the family's 1533-position model. The record is from RNAcentral.
AGAUUGAACGCUAGCGGGAUGCUUUACACAUGCAAGUCGAACGGCAGCGCGGACUUCGGUCUGGCGGCGAGUGGCGAACGGGUGAGUAAUAUAUCGGAACGUGCCCAGUAGCGGGGGGAUAACUACGCGAAAGCGUGGCUAAUACCGCAUACGCCCUACGGGGGAAAGGGGGGGAUCGCAAGACCUCUCACUAUUGGAGCGGCCGAUAUCAGAUUAGCUAGUUGGUGAGGUAAAGGCUCACCAAGGCGACGAUCUGUAGCUGGUUUGAGAGGACGACCAGCCACACUGGGACUGAGACACGGCCCAGACUCCUACGGGAGGCAGCAGUGGGGAAUUUGGACAAUGGGGGAAACCCUGAUCCAGCCAUCCGCGUGUGCGAUGAAGGCCUUCGGGCUGUAAAGCUACGUUUUGGCAGGGAAGAAACGGCGUGCCUAAUACGGACGUCACUGAACGUACCUGCAGAAUAAGACACCGGACUAACUACGUGCCAGCACGCCGACGUAAU